UGCGGUUCACUCAUGGUCAGUUAGAGGUCCACUUGCCGCCCCUGCUCGCGUUUCACUUCCUUAAAAGAGCCAACUUCGAUCUCCAACGCCAGCAUGGGGUCUGCACUGCAUGGGUGUGGCCGGAGGGGGAAUGGACGUGCUAUCCAUGGCGUGUUGUAGUACAUUAUUUCAGAAUUUGAUGUGCCUUUUUCAGUGCAGUGCAGUGCACUUCAGGUGCAGCUCACUGAUUUUCUGGUGUGCAGUUACUCAAGGUCGUCCGCAUCAGCUGAGGUGGGGCCUCCGACGAGAAGCUCCCAUGGUGGAUCUGAAUUAUGGUGUGUCGUGUGCAGUUGCUGGUUACCUGUAGCGCGAUUCAGUAGUGAGAGCGUUGCAAACUUGCAUUACUGUAUCCCUUUAGGAAAAGAGUUUCUGCAGUUAGUCGGUUCCUGUAUGUGCAGACUUUUGCAUCAUUUGUUGUCUCAUGCAGUGCGUGCAGGGGUCAUAGAGCAGUUCGGUCGUGAAAACUUUGUGCAUAAAAUAUGCAUAUACAAAAAAUGUUGGCUGCAAAAAUAUUAAAAUCUGUUCAUUUUUUAUGUGAGUGUCGUUCACUUGUUCAUCGCCUCCCUGUCUUUUUCUUUCCGGAAGUGCACUAUCUUGUCACGUGCAAAACUAACAUUGACCAUGAAGUCCAUAAAUGUUUGUAUUUUUUGUUUGUAAAAAGAGAAAAAACUCUCAUGAGGUUCAUUUUGAUUCCAAGCUAAUUAAUAAAUGUAGUUCGUUUGCCGCAACUAUGUGGUACACCCCGUAAAAUAAGAAAAAAAUGUGGCUCAUUGCUCAAGUAGUUAUCUGAAAAGAAGCUCAUUUCUUAUUAGAUGC
This 855-nucleotide long non-coding RNA is filed under the name Triticum aestivum (bread wheat). RNAcentral describes it as "long non-coding RNA (TAES_LNC010252)". The record is from RNAcentral. Lineage: Eukaryota; Viridiplantae; Streptophyta; Magnoliopsida; Poales; Poaceae.